RNAcentral lists this ribosomal RNA (349 nucleotides) under Clostridioides difficile. RNAcentral describes it as "bacterial SSU rRNA". It matches the Rfam family "Bacterial small subunit ribosomal RNA", at positions 1 to 357 of the family's 1533-position model. Lineage: Bacteria; Bacillati; Bacillota; Clostridia; Peptostreptococcales; Peptostreptococcaceae. The record is from RNAcentral.
UUUUAUUUGAGAGUUUGAUCCUGGCUCAGGAUGAACGCUGGCGGCGUGCCUAACACAUGCAAGUUGAGCGAUUUACUUCGGUAAAGAGCGGCGGACGGGUGAGUAACGCGUGGGUAACCUACCCUGUACACACGGAUAACAUACCGAAAGGUAUGCUAAUACGGGAUAAUAUAUUUGAGAGGCAUCUCUUAAAUAUCAAAGGUGAGCCAGUACAGGAUGGACCCGCGUCUGAUUAGCUAGUUGGUAAGGUAACGGCUUACCAAGGCGACGAUCAGUAGCCGACCUGAGAGGGUGAUCGGCCACAUUGGAACUGAGACACGGUCCAAACUCCUACGGGAGGCAGCAGUGG